GAACUAUAAUUUUCUUUUUGCAUAUACAUAUACUAUAGGUAAGAAGAUAAAUGUAUAGUAGGAAACAAAAUGAAACGCAAACAAAAGUAAAAUACAAAGAGGGGCUAGAAGAAGAUUUCAGUUUUGCGGAAGCAAAACGUAUGAUGGGCAGUUUUGUACAGCUGGUAGAGAAAUGAAGCCACCCUAAAGUAAUGAGAGGUAGUAUAGCCAGUUUUUCCUGUUUAACCACUUGAUAAAAGUUCAGUACCAGUGACCGUUAUUAGCCCAGAGCAGUAGCAUAGAAACAUGGAGUACUUUCAGCAGAGGUGUCAAGGAGCUGCUGUCUUGUUACCUGUCCAUUGUUUUAUUGAUAGGCUGCUAGGGGGAAAGGGAGGUGGAUGCACUCCAACUUGCAGCACAGAAAUAAAAUUUAUCAGAGCAAAAGUCACAUAGCUGAAGGCACUUGGGAAAGUAAUGAAAGUCAAA
Molecule: long non-coding RNA, 465 nt
Organism: Xenopus tropicalis (tropical clawed frog)
Lineage: Eukaryota; Metazoa; Chordata; Amphibia; Anura; Pipidae
Exons: 2
Source: RefSeq, a predicted model, not a curated record